This 460-nucleotide ribosomal RNA is filed under the name uncultured bacterium. RNAcentral's name for it is "partial 16S ribosomal RNA". It matches the Rfam family "Bacterial small subunit ribosomal RNA", at positions 338 to 795 of the family's 1533-position model. The record is from RNAcentral.
CCUACGGGCGGCAGCAGUGAGGAAUAUUGGUCAAUGGGCGCUAGCCUGAACCAGCCAAGUAGCGUGAAGGAUGACUGCCCUAUGGGUUGUAAACUUCUUUUGUAUGGGAAUAAAGUGCAGUAUGUAUACUGCGUUGCAUGUACCUUAUGAAUAAGGAUCGGCUAACUCCGUGCCAGCAGCCGCGGUAAUACGGAGGAUGCGAGCGUUAUCCGGAUUUAUUGGGUUUAAAGGGAGCGCAGGCGGGUUGUUAAGUCAGGUGGGAAAGUUUGCGGCUCAACCGUCAAGUAGCAGUUGAAACUGGCAUCCUGGAGUAGGGUAGAGGUAGGCGGAAUUCGUGGUGUAGCGGUGAAAUGCUUAGAUAGCACGAAGAACCCCGAUUGCGAAGGCAGCCUGCUGGACUGUAACUGACGCUGAGGCUCGAAAGUGUGGGUAUCAAACAGGAUUAGAUACCCGUGUAGUC